This 877-nucleotide ribosomal RNA is filed under the name uncultured bacterium. RNAcentral's name for it is "bacterial SSU rRNA". It matches the Rfam family "Bacterial small subunit ribosomal RNA", at positions 53 to 923 of the family's 1533-position model. The record is from RNAcentral.
ACAUGCAAGUCGAACGGCAGCACGGACUUCGGUCUGGUGGCGAGUGGCGAACGGGUGAGUAAUAUAUCGGAACGUAUCCAAUAAUGGGGGAUAACUAAUCGAAAGGUUGGCUAAUACCGCAUACGCCCUACGGGGGAAAGCUAGGGACCUUCGGGCCUGGCGUUAAUGGAGCGGCCGAUAUCUGAUUAGCUAGUUGGUGGGGUAAAGGCCCACCAAGGCGACGAUCAGUAGCUGGUCUGAGAGGACGACCAGCCACACUGGAACUGAGACACGGUCCAGACUCCUACGGGAGGCAGCAGUGGGGAAUUUUGGACAAUGGGCGCAAGCCUGAUCCAGCCAUUCCGCGUGAGUGAAGAAGGCCUUCGGGUUGUAAAGCUCUUUCGCAAGGGAAGAAAGAUUACUCUCUAACAUAGAGUGAUUAUGACGGUACCUUGAUAAGAAGCACCGGCUAACUACGUGCCAGCAGCCGCGGUAAUACGUAGGGUGCGAGCGUUAAUCGGAAUUACUGGGCGUAAAGCGUGCGCAGGCGGUUUUGUAAGUCAGAUGUGAAAUCCCCGAGCUCAACUUGGGAACUGCGUUUGAAACUACAAGACUAGAAUAUGUCAGAGGGGGGUAGAAUUCCACGUGUAGCAGUGAAAUGCGUAGAGAUGUGGAGGAAUACCAAUGGCGAAGGCAGCCCCCUGGGAUAAUAUUGACGCUCAUGCACGAAAGCGUGGGGAGCAAACAGGAUUAGAUACCCUGGUAGUCCACGCCCUAAACGAUGUCUACUAGUUGUUGGUGGAGUAAAAUCCAUGAGUAACGCAGCUAACGCGUGAAGUAGACCGCCUGGGGGAGUACGAUCGCAAGAUUAAAACUCAAAUGAAUUGACGGGGGUCCG